UGGAGAGUUUGAUCCUGGCUCAGAUUGAACGCUGGCGGCAGGCCUAACACAUGCAAGUCGAGCGGUAACAGAGAGUAGCUUGCUACUCUGCUGACGAGCGGCGGACGGGUGAGUAAUGCUUGGGAAUAUGCCUUAUGGUGGGGGACAACAGUUGGAAACGACUGCUAAUACCGCAUGAUGUCUACGGACCAAAGUGGGGGACCUUCGGGCCUCACGCCAUAAGAUUAGCCCAAGUGGGAUUAGCUAGUUGGUGAGGUAAUGGCUCACCAAGGCGACGAUCCCUAGCUGGUUUGAGAGGAUGAUCAGCCACACUGGGACUGAGACACGGCCCAGACUCCUACGGGAGGCAGCAGUGGGGAAUAUUGCACAAUGGGCGCAAGCCUGAUGCAGCCAUGCCGCGUGUGUGAAGAAGGCCUUCGGGUUGUAAAGCACUUUCAGUAAGGAGGAAAGGUUAAGUGUUAAUAGCACUUAGCUGUGACGUUACUUACAGAAGAAGCACCGGCUAACUCCGUGCCAGCAGCCGCGGUA
This 528-nucleotide ribosomal RNA is filed under the name Pseudoalteromonas sp. TBT1. RNAcentral describes it as "bacterial SSU rRNA". It matches the Rfam family "Bacterial small subunit ribosomal RNA", at positions 1 to 522 of the family's 1533-position model. The record is from RNAcentral. Lineage: Bacteria; Pseudomonadati; Pseudomonadota; Gammaproteobacteria; Alteromonadales; Pseudoalteromonadaceae.